GUGUAAAAAACGCUGAUGAGUAUGAGCUGAGGUCCAUCGCCUCUGACCCAGAUGACAUUCACAUGUACAACGUCUACGACUUCCAGUUCCUGGUGGACAUCAUUGACGAACUCUCUGUCAACCUGUGUAACAGUGUUAAGGGCUCAGAGGCACCCACCAAUCUGGUGACCUCAGAGGUGACACAGAGCUCCUUUCGUGCCACCUGGACUCCACCCAAUGGCACCGUGGAGAAAUACGAUGUCACUUACAUGAUGGCAGCUGGGGAACGCAUUGAGAAGCUGCAAGUCAAUGGAUCGGUGAGCACGGUAGUGCUAGAAAAUCUAAACCCUCUGACUGAGUACGUCAUCAGUGUUUACGCUGUGGUUGGCAAGCAGAGCAGCGAGCCUCUCAGGGGCACCGAGACCACCCGAGAUGGAUAGGUGCCAUUUGAGCUGGUGGAGGCGUCAUUCAGAAGGAAGUUUAACUCCUCUGCUUCAGCCGUAUGGUCCCAGUUCCCCCAAACCAGUCAGCCACUUAAAAAUACUCCAUCUGUGUUGGACUACGUGUUUCAUGUUGUGGCAUUUCAAAACACAUUUAUAAAUGUGACCACAUUACAAUUCUUGUACUCUCUCUGUUGACCUGAGGAUCAAUAAAAACAACAUGGCUCUCAUGAUCAACAAA
Molecule: long non-coding RNA, 660 nt
Organism: Haplochromis burtoni (Burton's mouthbrooder)
Lineage: Eukaryota; Metazoa; Chordata; Actinopteri; Cichliformes; Cichlidae
Product: collagen alpha-1(XII) chain
Source: RefSeq, a predicted model, not a curated record